CCUUGGGCUGUUUCUCUUGGAGGUGACUUUCUGCAAGGCUCUCCUCCCUGACAGGGAGCAGGAUCGGGGACAGUGUGUAGGAGCCUGCAGUCUCCAGCUGCUCUAAGUGAGCUUAGGUGGGAAAAAUCAAUUCAGUGGAAAGUCAUGGGACAGACACUUUGGCUUCAGAUCCAGGAAUAAGAAACCUGCAUUGGCUGUGCUUCGUCACUGAUUCAGGAGCAGCCUGUGGAAAGCGUGGCCUCAGCAUCAAUGUGGUGGUGAACCCAGAGGAGUGGAAACAAGGCCAACUAUUAUGCUCCCUGCAGCAGGAGACCUGAGUGGUGCAUUGUCCUGGCCAUCACAAUGGCUUGAUCAGGCCUGGAAACCAGAGAAGAUGACCAAUUUCAAAACCAGAGAAGCAACCCUAAUAUGAAGUUCCAAAUGGUGUGGCAGGAAGGUAGCAAGACACCUGGGGCAGAUAACAACGGUUUGAGCACCUGCUCUGUGGCAAGCUGCCUGAAGGGACUUGACACACACUUGCAGACAGUUCUCAGAAAAGUUCAAUAAAUUGCCCAAGGCCAAAGAGCUAGUAAGUUGUGAGCUUGGAUUUGAAGCUGAUUUUUCUCUUCAUUGCAAAGCCCUGGGCAACAGUCUUUUUGCCAUGAAUCGGGAAUAAACAGGAGAGAGCAUGGAGAUGGCAACAGACUCAAUUUAUGAAUGAAAUUCUAUUUUAUUACUUUUAAAUACAGAUAAGGCCAGGCAUGAUGGCUUACACUUGUAAUCCUAGAACUUUGGGAGGCUGAGGCAAGAGAAUUGCUUGAGGUUAGGAGUUCAAGAUCACCUUGGACAACACGGGGGGUUGGUUGGGGAGGGGGAAGAAAGAAAGUGAAAGAAAAAUAAAUACAAAUAAAUACCAAAAGAGACCAGUACACUCUCCAGGGGCAAAUAAUGAAUAAUAUUUCAAAUCACUAUCUUAUUUUUUUCAACUUUAUUGAGCUAUUAUUGAAGUAGAUAAGCUGCACAUAUUUCCAUGUAAAAGUUGGUCAGUUUCGG
RNAcentral lists this long non-coding RNA (1032 nucleotides) under Homo sapiens (human). RNAcentral describes it as "HSALNT0052058". Lineage: Eukaryota; Metazoa; Chordata; Mammalia; Primates; Hominidae. The record is from RNAcentral.